AGUGAACGCUGGCGGUAGGCCUAACACAUGCAAGUCGAACGGCAGCACAGUAAGAGCUUGCUCUUACGGGUGGCGAGUGACGGACGGGUGAGGAAUACAUCGGAAUCUACUUUUUCGUGGGGGAUAACGUAGGGAAACUUACGCUAAUACCGAAUACGACCUACGGGUGAAAGCAGGGGAUCUUCGGACCUUGCGCGAUUGAAUGAGCCGAUGUCGGAUUAGCUAGUUGGCGGGGUAAAGGCACACCAAGGCGACGAUCCGUAGCUGGUCUGAGAGGAUGAUCAGCCACACUGGAACUGAGACACGGUCCAGACUCCUACGGGAGGCAGCAGUGGGGAAUAUUGGACAAUGGGCGCAAGCCUGAUCCAGCCAUACCGCGUGGGUGAAGAAGGCCUUCGGGUUGUAAAGCCCUUUUGUUGGGAAAGAAAAGCAGCAGGUUAAUACCCCGCUGUUCUGACGGUACCCAAAGAAUAAGCACCGGCUAACUUCGUG
Molecule: ribosomal RNA, 492 nt
Filed under: uncultured bacterium
Lineage: Bacteria
Description: partial 16S ribosomal RNA
Rfam family: Bacterial small subunit ribosomal RNA
Source: RNAcentral